RNAcentral lists this ribosomal RNA (756 nucleotides) under uncultured bacterium. RNAcentral describes it as "bacterial SSU rRNA". It matches the Rfam family "Bacterial small subunit ribosomal RNA", at positions 8 to 796 of the family's 1533-position model. The record is from RNAcentral.
AGAGUUUGAUCCUGGCUCAGAAUCAACGCUGGCGGCGCGCUUAACACAUGCAAGUCGAACGAGAAAGUGGAGCAAUCCAUGAGUACAGUGGCGUACGGGUGAGUAACACGUGGGUAAUCUACCUUUUAGUGGGGAAUAACCCUGGGAAACCGGGGCUAAUACCGCAUAAUCUCGAGAGAGGAAAGUCGCAAGACGCUGAAAGAGGAGCCCGCGGCCGAUUAGCUAGUUGGCAGGGUAAGAGCCUACCAAGGCAGAGAUCGGUAGCCGGCCUGAGAGGGCACACGGCCACACUGGCACUGAAACACGGGCCAGACUCCUACGGGAGGCAGCAGUGGGGAAUCUUGCACAAUGGGGGCAACCCUGAUGCAGCGACGCCGCGUGAGCGAUGAAGCCCUUCGGGGUGUAAAGCUCUUUCGUCAGGGAAGAUAAUGACGGUACCUGGAGAAGCAGCUGCGGCUAACUACGUGCCAGCAGCCGCGGUAAUACGUAGGCAGCGAGCGUUGUUCGGAGUUACUGGGCGUAAAGGGUGUGUAGGCGGUUGUUUAAGUUUGGUGUGAAAUCUCCCGGCUCAACUGGGAGGGUGCGCCGAAUACUGAAUGACUAGAGUGCGGGAGAGGAAAGUGGAAUUCCUGGUGUAGCGGUGAAAUGCGUAGAUAUCAGGAGGAACACCGGUGGUGUAGACGGCUUUCUGGACCGUAACUGACGCUGAGACACGAAAGCGUGGGUAGCAAACAGGAUUAGAUACCCUAGUAGUCC